GUACACGCUGUGACUAGCAUAUCAAUAAGCGGAGGAAAAGAAACUAACAAGGAUUCCCCUAGUAACGGCGAGUGAAGCGGGAAGAGCUCAAAUUUGAAAUCUUAAAGGGUUUCCCUUUACGAAUUGUAGUUUAAAGAAGUGUUUUCUGUUGAGGUUUUGGUAAAAGUUCUUUGGAAUAGGACAUCAUAGAGGGUGAGAAUCCCGUAAUUUGACCUUUACUUUCAACUUUGUGAUACACUUUCAAAGAGUCGGAUUGUUUGGGAAUGCAGUCCAAAAUGGGUGGUAAAUUUCAUCUAAAGCUAAAUAUUGGCGAGAGACCGAUAGCGAACAAGUACCGUGAGGGAAAGAUGAAAAGAACUUUGAAAAGAGAGUUAAACAGUACGUGAAAUUGUCAAAAGGGAAGCGUUUGACACCAGUGUUGUUUUUCUGAAAAUCAAUUAAAGAACUGUUUAUGCUAAGUUGUUUAGACUUUAUCAGCUAACUGUUUAGUUUUGAGCUUUUCUUUAAUGCACUUUUCCAGUUAACAAGUCAACAUCAAUUUCUUUUGCUGUAAAAAAGCUUGAGGAAGGUGGCUUGAGAUUCGUCUUAAGUGUUUAUAGCCUCUUGCCUAUGCAGUCGGAGAGAUUGAGGUCUGCAGCGUAGAUCCUUCGGGGCUAAAUGCAUUUGUGCUAAGUUAUAGCAUUUUAUAGACAACUUGUUGACUAUGAUUUGUCUUGUAGCUUACUCGCUUAUGUUAUUUUACCUACGCUUAGGAUGUUGAGUCGUAGAGCACGCAG
Molecule: ribosomal RNA, 776 nt
Filed under: uncultured Neocallimastigales
Lineage: Eukaryota; Fungi; Neocallimastigomycota; Neocallimastigomycetes; Neocallimastigales
Description: partial large subunit ribosomal RNA
Rfam family: Eukaryotic large subunit ribosomal RNA
Source: RNAcentral